Vespa velutina is the source of this 162-nucleotide long non-coding RNA. RefSeq lists it as uncharacterized. Lineage: Eukaryota; Metazoa; Arthropoda; Insecta; Hymenoptera; Vespidae. The transcript is spliced from 2 exons. The record is from RefSeq and is a predicted model, not a curated record.
CUCAGUAGUACCAGAAAAAAAGAUUAUGAAAAAUAGUAAAAAUAAUAUCCAGAGAGGAAGAGUGAGACACCAUCGAAAUGACAAAAUGAACAGGCGUAACAACGUGUAAAGAUGAAAGACAAACUAAUUCCGGAAAGAAAAAAAAAAAAAAUAUCGAAGGAA